GUGUGUGUGCGUGUCGGAUGACGGACCUCCGGUCCGGCUCUGGCCACASGCCGCUGCUGGUUUCAGGUGUGCCUCGGACGGAAGAAUCUCCCGUCAGCGGCGCAAGAGCUUCGGGUAAUUUCACGACCCGUCUUGAAACACGGACCAAGGAGUCUAACAUGUGCGCGAGUCAUUGGGUUGAACUCUAAACCUAAAGGCGCAAUGAAAGUGAAGGUCUGCUUCGGUGGACCGAGGGAAGAUGGGGCGUGCUUCYGUGCGCCCCCGCAUUCCCGGGGCGUCUCGUUCUCAUUGCGAGUUGAGGCGCACCCAGAGCGUACACGUUGGGACCCGAAAGAUGGUGAACUAUGCCUGGCCAGGACGAAGUCAGGGGAAACCCUGAUGGAGGUCCGUAGCGAUUCUGACGUGCAAAUCGAUCGUCGGAGCUGGGUAUAGGGGCGAAAGACUAAUCGAACCAUCUAGUAGCUGGUUCCCUCCGAAGUUUCCCUCAGGAUAGCUGGUGCUCGAUGUCGAGUCUCAUCCGGUCAAGCGAAUGAUUAGAGGCCUUGGGGCCGAAACGACCUCAACCUAUUCUCAAACUUUAAAUGGGUGAGAUCUCCGGCUUGCUUAACUGAAGCCGCGAGAUUUCGGAUACGAGUGCCAAGUGGGCCACUUUUGGUAAGCAGAACUGGCGCUGUGGGAUGAACCAAACGCAGAGUUAAGGCGCCCGAAUAGACGCUCAUGGGAAACCAUGAAAGGCGUUGGUUGCUUAAGACAGCAGGACGGUGGCCAUGGAAGUCGGAAUCCGCUAAGGAGUGUGUAACAACUCACCUGCCGAAGCAACUAGCCCUGAAAAUGGAUGGCGCUGAAGCGUCUUGCCUAUACUCUGCCGUCAGCUCGGCAAUGAGGGGCGCGUGCUCCGCUUCGGCGGGCCCGCCUCGUGAGGCCCUGACGAGUAGGAGGGUCGCGGCGGUGAGCGCAGAAGGGUCUGGGCGUGAGCCUGCCUGGAGCCGCCGUCGGUGCAGAUCUUGGUGGUAGUAGCAAAUACUCCAGCGAGGCCCUGGAGGACUGACGUGGAGAAGGGUUUCGUGUGAACAGCCGUUGCACACGAGUCAGUCGAUCCUAAGCCCUAGGAGAAAUCCGAUGUUGAUGGGGUCCGACACUUGAAAUAUUAAUGUGGACCCCAUGGGGCGAAAGGGAAUCCGGUUCCUAUUCCGGAACCCGGCAGCGGAACCGUAACCAGUCGGGCCUUUCUCUUCAGAGAAGCUCGUCGGGGUAACCCAAGAGGACCCGGAGACGCCGUCGGGAGAUCGGGGAAGCGUUUUCUUUUCUGCAUGAGCGUUCGAGUUCCCUGGAAUCCUCUAGCAGGGAGAUAGGGUUUGGAACGCGAAGAGCACCGCAGUUGCGGCGGUGUCCCGAUCUUCCC
Molecule: ribosomal RNA, 1402 nt
Filed under: Ruspolia marshallae
Lineage: Eukaryota; Metazoa; Arthropoda; Insecta; Orthoptera; Tettigoniidae
Description: eukaryotic LSU rRNA
Rfam family: Eukaryotic large subunit ribosomal RNA
Source: RNAcentral